GACGAACGCUGGCGGCGUGCCUAAUACAUGCAAGUAGAACGCACAGUUGAUACCGUAGCUUGCUUCACCAUAGACUCUGAGUUGCGAACGAGUGAGUAACGCGUAGGUAACCUGCCUGGUAGCGGGUGAGAACUAUGGGACUCGAUAGCUAAUACCUCAUAAUAUUAAUUAUUCCAUAGUAAUUAAUUGAAAGGUUCAAUUUCACCACUACAACAUCGACCCACGUUGUAUUAGCUAGUAUGAGAGGUAACCGCUUACCCAGGCGACGAUACAUAGGCGACCUGAGAGGGUGAUCGGCCACACUGGGACUGGGACACGGGCCCGACUCCUACGGGAGGGAGCAGUAGGGGAUUCUCGGCAAUGGAGGAAAGUCUGAACGGGCAAAGGCGGGUGAGUGGAGGAGAUUCUCGGAACGUAAAGACCUGUUGUAAGGGGAGAACGAGAGGGGGAGUGGAAAGUGCACACUGUGACGGUACCUUAUCAGAAAGCGACGGCUAACUACGUG
This 505-nucleotide ribosomal RNA is filed under the name uncultured bacterium. Its description in RNAcentral is "partial 16S ribosomal RNA". It matches the Rfam family "Bacterial small subunit ribosomal RNA", at positions 28 to 507 of the family's 1533-position model. The record is from RNAcentral.